CUUGAAAUUAAAAAAAAUGGCGGUAUUUUAGUCUAUCUAGAGGAACCUGUUCUAUGAUCGAUAGUCCACGUUUUUAUUAACUUAUUUUUUAAAUUUGCAUAUCGCCGUAGAUUGAAUAUUUUUUUAGAGUAUUAAUGUUCAAGAUUUUUAUUAAAAUUAUAUCAGGUCAAGGUGUAGUUUAUGAAUAAGGAGAAAUGGGUUACAAUAAAAAUAUUUAAACGGAUUAAUUUUUGUAAUGGAUUUUUAAAGGAGGAUUUGAAAGUAAUUUUAAAUGUUUUUUAAGAUGAUUUAAGCUCUAAGAUAUGUACAUAUCGCCCGUCGCUUUCACUUUAAGGUGGAAUAAGUCGUAACAUAGUAGGUGUACUGGAAAGUGUCUCUAGAAAGACGAAUUAAAGCUUUUAUAUAGCAUUUUAUUUACAUUAAAAAGAUUAUUAAUAGAUUGAUAUUAUUCGAAGUGAAUGGAUUAUUUAUUAUAAAGAAUUUAUUUUAGAUUAAAGAAAGUAAUUUUUAUUUUAUUAAUUUUGUAUGAAUAAAGGUAGUAUGUGCAGAUAUAUGUGUAUAUAUUGUAAUUAUAGAGUAUUAGUAUUGUAUAAGAAAUUUAUUAAUUAUGAAUAAGAAGAGUUAGGGUUUUGUACCUUGUGUAUCAGGGUUUAUUAAUUAAGUUUUAUUUAUAUUAGAUUUCUCGAAUUUAAAAGAGUUAUAAGUAUAUAGUUUUUAUUGUGGCAUAAAUAUUAUUAAUAUAUUUAUAGAAGUGAAAUGCUAUUCGAUUUUAAAUAUAUCUAGUUUUUUAAGAAAAGAUUUUAAAUUUAUUUUUAUUUUAUUAUGAGUUUAAAUUUUUAAUUUUAUAAUAGUGAAAUUUUUAUAUUUUAUGGGAUGAGCUUUAAAAUAUAUUUAUAAAAUAUAGUGUAUAAGGUUUAUUAAGUAGGAUUAUAAGUUUUUAUCUUUAUAAGUGUUUUAUAACUAUGUAAAUAGUUUUUAAAAUUUAUAUAUAAAUAUUUAUAUGUUUUAUUAAAAUAUAAUUUUUAAUAAAAAAAAGUUAGAAAAAAUGAUGAAAUUAGUAUAAAUUUAAGUACUGCUAUAAUUUAUAUUUAAGGUUAAGUAAAGUAAUUCGGCAAAAGUAUUUUUCACCUGUUUAUUAAAAACAUGGCCUAUUGAUUAUGAUUUUAGGUCUGACCUGCCCAAUGAUGAAAAUUUAAUGGCCGCGGUAUUUUGACCGUGCAAAGGUAGCAUAAUCAUUAGUUUUUUAAUUGAAAGCUUGUAUGAAGGGUUUGAUGAAAAAAUAUCUGUCUCUAUUUAAAUUUAUUAGAAGUUUAUUUUUAAGUAAAAAAGCUUAAAUAUUUACAGAAGACGAGAAGACCCUAUAGAGUUUGAUAAUUAUAUAAUUAAAUAAUAUUUUAGAAUUUUA
Molecule: ribosomal RNA, 1405 nt
Filed under: Exithius cariosus
Lineage: Eukaryota; Metazoa; Arthropoda; Insecta; Coleoptera; Curculionidae
Description: partial 16S ribosomal RNA
Source: RNAcentral